GAGGAAUAUUGCACAAUGGGCGCAAGCCUGAUGCAGCGACGCCGCGUGUGGGAUGAAGGGGCUACGCCUCGUAAACCACUGUAGCCCGGGACGAAAAACGCCUUAGAGGCGUUAGACGGUACCGGGAGAAGAAGCUGCGGCUAACUACGUGCCAGCAGCCGCGGUAAUACGUGGGCAGCAAGCGUUGUUCGGAGUUACUGGGCGUAAAGAGUGCGUAGGCGGUUUUCUAAGUUCGGUGUGAAAUCUCCCGGCUUAACUGGGAGGGUGCGCCGAAGACUGGGAAGCUGGAGUGUGGGAAAGGCAGGCGGAAUUCCUGGUGUAGCGGUGAAAUGCGUAGAUAUCAGGAGGAACACCGGCGGUGUAGACGGCUUGCUAGACCAUAACUGACGCUGAGGCACGAAAGCGUGGGUAGCAAACA
RNAcentral lists this ribosomal RNA (418 nucleotides) under uncultured bacterium. RNAcentral describes it as "bacterial SSU rRNA". It matches the Rfam family "Bacterial small subunit ribosomal RNA", at positions 356 to 774 of the family's 1533-position model. The record is from RNAcentral.